GCAGACACAUUACAGCCAAUCAGUAGCAGACCCUCCCUCCCAGACCCUUCCACCUCCUGGACAGCAUCCAUUUUACAUUUAUUGUGAAGCUGCAUUCUUAGUGAGCUGUCCAGGAGGUGGGAAGGUCUGGGAGGGAGGGUCUGCUGCUGAUUGGCUGGAAUGUGUCU
RNAcentral lists this microRNA precursor (167 nucleotides) under Pelobates cultripes (western spadefoot toad). The record is from RNAcentral. Lineage: Eukaryota; Metazoa; Chordata; Amphibia; Anura; Pelobatidae.